Molecule: ribosomal RNA, 468 nt
Filed under: uncultured bacterium
Lineage: Bacteria
Description: partial 16S ribosomal RNA
Rfam family: Bacterial small subunit ribosomal RNA
Source: RNAcentral
GACGAACGCUGGCGGCGUACUUAACACAUGCAAGUCGAACGGAAAGGCCCUGCUUUUGUGGGGUGCUCGAGUGGCGAACGGGUGAGUAACACGUGAGUAACCUGCCCUUGACUUUGGGAUAACUUCAGGAAACUGGGGCUAAUACCGGAUAGGAGCUCCUGCUGCAUGGUGGGGGUUGGAAAGUUUCGGCGGUUGGGGAUGGACUCGCGGCUUAUCAGCUUGUUGGUGGGGUAGUGGCUUACCAAGGCUUUGACGGGUAGCCGGCCUGAGAGGGUGACCGGCCACAUUGGGACUGAGAUACGGCCCAGACUCCUACGGGAGGCAGCAGUGGGGAAUAUUGCACAAUGGGCGGAAGCCUGAUGCAGCAACGCCGCGUGCGGGAUGACGGCCUUCGGGUUGUAAACCGCUUCCGCCUGUGACGAAGCGUGAGUGACGGUAAUGGGUAAAGAAGCACCGGCUAACUACGUG